RNAcentral lists this non-coding RNA (26 nucleotides) under Mus musculus (house mouse). Lineage: Eukaryota; Metazoa; Chordata; Mammalia; Rodentia; Muridae. The record is from RNAcentral.
ACAUGGAGUAGUUUAAUGGCGGAUCU